This 506-nucleotide ribosomal RNA is filed under the name uncultured bacterium. RNAcentral's name for it is "bacterial SSU rRNA". It matches the Rfam family "Bacterial small subunit ribosomal RNA", at positions 25 to 518 of the family's 1533-position model. The record is from RNAcentral.
CAAGAACGACGCUGGGCGGCGCGUUUUAAGCAUGCAAGUCGAGCGGCAAGGGCCUUCGGGCCCCUAGAGCGGCGGACGGGUGAGUAACACGUGGACAAUCUCGCCCCCCGGCCCGGGAUAGCCCAGGGAAACCUGGAUUAAUACCGGAUGAGACGGGACCCGCGAUGGCGGGAUCCGGGAAAGGCGCUGCGGCGCCGCCGGGGGAUGAGUCUGCGUCCCAUUAGCUAGACGGCGGGGUAACGGCCCACCGUGGCGACGAUGGGUAGCCGGCCUGAGAGGGUGGACGGCCACAUUGGAACUGAGACACGGUCCAGACUCCUACGGGAGGCAGCAGCUAAGAAUCUUCCGCAAUGGGCGAAAGCCUGACGGAGCCGACGCCGCGUGAACGAAGAAGGCCGUGAGGUUGUAAAGUUCUUUUCGGGAGGGGGAACAACCGUGGCAGGGAAUGGCCGCGGGAUGACGUGAAUCCCGGAAUAAGCCCCGGCUAACUACGUGCCAGCCGCGGC